GCAUUAGCUAGUUGGUAGGGGUAAACGGGCCUACCAAGGCGAUGAUGCAUAGCCCGAGUUUGAGAGACUGAUCGGCCACAUUGGGACUGAGACACGGCCCAAACUCCUACGGGAGGCAGCAGUAGGGAAUCUUCCACAAUGGACGCAAGUCUGAUGGAGCAACGCCGCGUGAGUGAAGAAGGGUUUCGGCUCGUAAAGCUCUGUUGUUGGUGAAGAAGGACAGGGGGUAGUAACUGACCUUUGUUUGACGGUAAUCAAUUAGAAAGUCACGGCUAACUACGUGCCAGCAGCCGCGGUAU
RNAcentral lists this ribosomal RNA (299 nucleotides) under uncultured Lactobacillus sp. RNAcentral's name for it is "partial 16S ribosomal RNA". It matches the Rfam family "Bacterial small subunit ribosomal RNA", at positions 238 to 523 of the family's 1533-position model. Lineage: Bacteria; Bacillati; Bacillota; Bacilli; Lactobacillales; Lactobacillaceae. The record is from RNAcentral.